This 206-nucleotide ribosomal RNA is filed under the name uncultured bacterium. Its description in RNAcentral is "partial 16S ribosomal RNA". It matches the Rfam family "Bacterial small subunit ribosomal RNA", at positions 568 to 774 of the family's 1533-position model. The record is from RNAcentral.
AGCGCAGGCGGGAGGCCAAGUCCAUCCUAAAAGUUCGGGGCUCAACUCCGUGAGGGGAUGGAAACUGGUCUUCUUGAGUGCAGGAGAGGAAAGCGGAAUUCCUAGUGUAGCGGUGAAAUGCGUAGAUAUUAGGAGGAACACCAGUGGCGAAGGCGGCUUUCUGGACUGUAACUGACGCUGAGGCUCGAAAGCCAGGGGAGCGAACG